Long non-coding RNA from Lagopus leucura (white-tailed ptarmigan), 169 nucleotides. RefSeq lists it as uncharacterized. The transcript is spliced from 3 exons. The record is from RefSeq and is a predicted model, not a curated record. Lineage: Eukaryota; Metazoa; Chordata; Aves; Galliformes; Phasianidae.
GAAAACACUGGGAAACUAAUUGACUUUUCAAGAGAAUCAUCUUUUUGGGUUGAUUUGGAAGGUUGAAGGAGGAGCCAAGAUAACAAAAAUCUAUUUCAAGCAAAUGCAGUUGUCUGCCAGGUCAACGCUGGACCAGCCAGAAUCUGUGAUAAUAAGAACAAUAUGAAAC